GACAGUUCUGCAAUAAGGCCAAAUCCAAGGUUUUCUUUGGCAAAGGUGUUCCGGUUCAGCUGAGACGUCGACUACAGCGGGAUCUUGGUUUCUCCACUGGUUCCCUUCCUUUUAUCUAUUUGGGUGUCCCCAUUUUUGCUGGUCGUGCCACUGCCGCCCGUCUCAUCAGCACUCGUGAUCGCAUCAUCGCCCAUUUUCCUAGAUGGCAGGGCACGCAGUUAUCUAUGGCGGGCCGUCUUUGCCUCGUCACUUCUGUCAUUCAGAGCGCGGCUGUUCACAGUAUGCUGAUAUAUCGUUGGCCAGCUAAGCUUCUUCAUGAUUUGGAUAGAGCUUGUCGGUCGUUUAUUUGGACUGGCUGCACUACUUCUAGGCCUAAGUCUUCUGUGGCUUGGAAUCGGGUUUGCGCCCCCAAGACUCAGGGUGGGCUUAAUGUGAAAUCCUUUACACACAUCAGCCAAAGUUUCAUGUUGAGGUUAGGCUGGUUGCUGAUUACUGCGGAUUCGAUGGGCUUUCAGUUGUUUCGCCAGCGAUAUCUGGAUGCGUGCCUCAGACCUCGCUUCCCUUGGUUCUCUUCUACGAUUUGGUUGGGCACUCGGGCUGCUAUUCAGACUCUCCUCAGCGACACUCACUGUUCUAUAGGUUCUGGUUCUACUAUUCUUUUUUGGACUGAUAACUGGUUAUGGUAUCGUCUGGUUGAUAGAAUCGGCAUUCCGGCUACUUUUCAUCGCGCUCUUUUGCAGCCAAUCUCGGAUUACUACUUUGAUGAUACCUGGCACUUUACUUUGGAUUUUUUACAGAUCUUUCCGAAUAUUGCCUUUGAUAUUGUCUCGGUUCCUAUUAGCGAGGGAGAGGAUCGAAGAGCUUGGACCCAUUCUCAUUUUGGUGAAGUCUCCGCGUCGCUUGCUAUGGAUCAUAUUCGUCCCUGCUUUCCGACCGUCGAUUGGGGUAAGUGGAUCUGGGCUCCGUUUAUCCCAAAGCGGCGUUCCAUUAUCACUUGGCGGGUGAUUCUGGGUCGUCUUGCGACGGCUAGCUCUCUUCGUCGUUCAGGGCUGGUUGGUCCGGGCUGGUGCCCACUCUGCCGGAAUGCGAAUGAGGAUAUUGAUCAUCUUUUUUGGGACUGUACUUUUGCGCGACAAAUAUGGCGCUCCCUUUUCAGCUGGUUCAGGGUGGAUAGCCCGCUGAUUCACGACAUUGGGAGUCUGCUCCUCUGGGCUAUGAAGGUGCAGGCUAGCAAGCAGGUUGAAAAUCUCUGGCGAAUGGGUGUUAUGUCCACUAUUUGGAGCAUCUGGAAUAUUCGUAACAGAGUUGUAUUUGAUGCGGCUUCUGUCUCUGAGAGGGCUCUUUCGAUCCAGAUCAAAUCUUUUAUUUUGGAAACUUCCCAAUUAUGUUCUGGUGAGAUGGCUAACUCUGUUGAGGACUUACUGAUUCUUCAUGGUCUUGGGGUGCCAAGCAGACCUCGUCGCCCGACCUCUUAUGUUUAUGUUUUCUGGAUUCCGCCUCCGACUCCUUGGCGCAAAAUCAAUAUUGAUGGCUCGGUUCAUGGCUCCCCUCCUCUGAUUCACGCUGGUGGAGUUAUCAGAGAUUCUUCUAGCGUCCUGGGUUGUUUUCAUUUCUCUGCUGGACGUGGUUGGGCUUUUGAGGCAGAGCUGCUUGCCCUCAUCAUUGCUUUGGAGCAAUCUGUCAAUCAUGAUUGGAGACAUGUUUGGAUCGAGACUGACUGCGCUUAUUUGGUGGAUCUUUUCCGUUCUCGGUCAGACACGGUUCCUUGGAGGUUCUUCAGCCGCUGGCGUAAGGUUCUCUCUUCCCUUGAUGGUUUUCAUUUUAUUAUCACUCACAUCUACAGGGAAGGGAACCGGGUUGCGGAUUGUUUGGCUUCUUCUGUAGCGGAGGAAGGCUAUUGGAAUUUUACGAUCCCGGAUAUCCUACAGUUGGUGAAGGAUGACAGGCGGCAACUUCCUUACAUUCGGGUUGUCAAUUGAGGUGUUCUUCUUUCUUGGGUGUUCCUCUCCCUUUUCUUGCUUGCGUUUUGUUUGUUUCGUUUGUUUGUUAGUGAUUCUGCCUGUCUGGUGUGAUGACUUCUCCCUUUCGCACUUUCUUGCCUCUCUUACUUCUUUGGUCCAGCUUGGUCUCCUUGGGGCACUGGUUUGUGUUUGUUUGGGUUGUUAAUCUGGUUCUUUUGGUCCUGCUGUCCGGGUGUUGGGAAGGUUUCCAAAGUUUGGGUAGUCACACUUGGCGGUCCUUGCUUGUCGUGAUUUGUCCGGUAGAUGCUAGCAGGAGUGUCUUCACUGCGAUAAGCUUAAUAUCUUCUCUGGUUGGUAUUGGAGUUUGCUGCUGGUCUUUGCUCCUCUGAUGGAUCCCUCAUUAUGAGCAUGGGAAAUCACGCGGGAAAACUUGGGUUACCACCAAUGGUUUCAUCCCGUGAUCUUGACCUUGAAAAGCACUUUUUGAGCAUAAGCUUAAUAAGUUUGAGAAUUGAUUAUAAAAGUAAUUGCUUUAGGAGAUUCACUGCUAGCGGAGAACUGGGUCUGAUCGUCUUGUUUGGUCUUCUCGCUGUGAUGUCCCUUGCUUUUGUUCUUCCCUUCAUCUGUGAUGGUUGGAUCUUUUGCUCCUGGGUUUGGUUGGUGCUUGUUUUGAGGUUGUGCCCCUCUGGAGUUCAACCUGUACUGAAGUUUGUUUGGUGGCCAGUUUGUCUUGUUUGGUUGGGUCUUCCCUCGAUGGGCUGGGGCUCGUUUUGUGGUGUUGUCCCCUCUUUUUCCUUUUCUGUGUUUGUUUGCUCUUUUUUGCUGUUUCGGUUUCCUCUUCCGUCGGUUGUUGGUUUUUGGCAGAUCUGCGCUUUUUCCCGUUUGCGCUGAUGCGGCGUCUCCAGUGGUUCCGGAGGUGACCAGAGCAGGGAAGAUUCAUGAUGCGUUCGGUGGGCAUCCUGUGCUGCCCGCUCGGCUUGGUCCGGCCACUGCAGAUUUCUCUGGAUGGCCAGUGCUGCCCCCUCGGGUUUUGUUGUUGGCUCUUUUGUGCUUGAGCUGUGUUUCUUCCGGCUUAGGGGGACGACUCGCCGAUGGGUUUUGGUUUGGCCGUAAUCUGUGGCGGCGAAUUUCCCGUCCCCCUGAACUGUGGUUUUGUUUUUUGGUUUUUCGUUAGGUCGUGUUGCGCCUUACAUUGGUCCCUUGCUGUACUGCUUUUCGUUAGACCAGUUUUGUAACAACUUUUCUUUCUUUCUUUUCAAUAAAAUUUUCAUUUCAGCUUGUAAUAAGGUUUCCCGGGGGACGAGAAUCAAUCCAAAAGGACCUAUAACGAAGGAGAUAUGGCCGAAAGAAAAACCGAAUUUCCAACCCUAGGCUCUGUACAACGUUUUUGGCGGCCAAAACUCGACUGUGAGAUAAUCGAAAUUCGACCAUAUGGGAAUGUAACCCUUGUAAUAAGGUUUCCCGGGGGACGAGAAUCAAUCCAAAAGGACCUAUAACGAAGGAGAUAUGGCCGAAAGAAAAACUGAAUUUCUAACCCUAGGCAGCUGUACUCUAUCAAUUCGAUGGUUCUUCCUAGACUUGGAUCCGAUCACUCCCCCAUUCUGUUGAAAUGUCAGGACACGGCUACUCCUCCCAAGGGUCGUCGAUUUCGUUUUCUUAAUAUGUGGUGCUUACACGAGGGAUUUCUGGAUCAGGUCCGUGCUUCUUGGUCCCAACCGCUGGAUUGUCUCUGCCCGAUGGUUCGAGUUAUGAAAAAGCUGAAACGUCUUCGCCCGACUCUCAAGACUUGGAAUAAGGACACUUUUGGGAAUUACAAUGUUACCCUCGCCGAUCUUCAGCAGGAUCUGAGUUCACUUCAGGAGAAUAUUGACGAACGAGGGUAUACAGAUGAGCUCUUUGAUCAAGAGGUUAACUUGCAAGCUCGCAUAGGAUCGGUCCUUCUGCGUAAGUCUGAGCAUCUGCGGCAGCAAAGUAGGGUCUCUUGGCUUUCUGAUGGAGAUAGGAACACUCGCUUCUUCCAUUCUAUGGUUAAGUGGCGUCGUUCCAAUCAAAAUAUUAAGAAGCUUAAUAUUGAUGGGGUUAUCUCGGAGGACCCGGGUGUCAUGGCGGCCCAUGUGAUUCAUUUUUAUGAGGAUCUCUUUUCGGAGCCGAUUUCUCCGCCGGUGGAUAGAUCUUGGAUUUCCGGUUACAUUCCAGCUUCAGUCUCCCCUGCCCAGUCUGACAUGCUCGUUGCUACUCCCUCUGCUGAGGAUAUUCGGCUGACUGUCUUCUCCAUGGAUAUGAAUAGUGCCCCUGGACCAGACGGGUUUAACGGCGCUUUCUUUAAGCAUUCGUGGGAGGUGGUUGGGGAGGACCUUAUUGCUGCCGUUCGUCGGUUCUUCACUCAUAGCUAUCUUCCCCAGGGCCUUAAUUCCAACUUGCUUUGCCUUCUCCCAAAGAAGACUGAUGCGGUUCUUGUCUCUGACUUCUGACCUAUUGUGUUGGGAAAUUUCCUUUCUAAGGUCAUCACCAAGAUUCUUGCCUCUAGGUUGAACGAGGUAGCUGCUGUUAUUGUCUCGGCCAAUCAGUUUGGGUUUAUCUCUGGGCGUUCUAUACAGGAAUGUAUUCUGCUGGCCUCUGAAGGAGUGAAUUGCAUGGAGCGCUCAAUUCAAGGGAGGAACAUGGCUCUUAAGGUAGAUAUUCGGAAAGCUUUCGAUACCCUGAAUUGGGAUUUUGUGGAGGUUGUGCUGGAUUGCUUUGGUUUCCUUCAGACUUUCAGACACUGGAUUAGAGUUAUUUUUCAAUCUGCCAGAAUUUCGGUUCUCUUUAAUGGAGAGCAGCAUGGUUACUUUGGUUGCUCUCGAGGGGUUCGUCAGGGAGACCCUUUGUCUCCGGUUCUGUUUGCUUUGGCGGAGGAGGUCCUGAGUAGUAUGCUCUCGGACGCUGCUGAUAGGGUAUUCUAUUUGCCCCGUAUGAGGAUGUCCCGCUCUUUUGCUUUUUUCCCCUCUUCAUCUCCUGUAUGCUGAUGAUGUCCUACUUUUUUGUAAAGCUACUUGGCGCAGCUGCAGGAUGAUUGAAUCGAUUCUUCAUAUAUAUGCUUGGUUUCUGGACAGUUCUUCAUAAGGCCAAAUCCAAGGUUUUCUUUGGCAAAGGUGUUUCUGUUCAGCUGAGACGUCGACUACAGCGGGAUCUGGGUUUCUCAACUGGUUCCCUUCCUUUUAUCUAUUUGGGAGUCCCCAUUUUUGCUGGUCGUGCUUCUGCUGCCCGUCUUAUCAGCACUCGUGAUCGCAUCAUCGCCCAUUUUCCUAGAUGGCAGGGCAUGCAGUUAUCUAUGGCGGGCCGUCUUUGCCUCGUCACUUCAGUCAUUCAGAGCGCGGCUGUUCACAGUAUGCUGAU
RNAcentral lists this long non-coding RNA (5336 nucleotides) under Salvia miltiorrhiza (redroot sage). Its description in RNAcentral is "long non-coding RNA (SMIL_LNC005461)". The record is from RNAcentral. Lineage: Eukaryota; Viridiplantae; Streptophyta; Magnoliopsida; Lamiales; Lamiaceae.